GAUGAACGCUGGCGGCGUGCUUAACGCAUGCAAGUCGUACGUGAAGGGGUUUUCGGACUCCUGAAAGUGGCGAACGGGUGAGUAAUACGUAGAUGACCUGCCUUAAAGUGGGGGAUAACUACUGGAAACGGUGGCUAAUACCGCAUAGAGCUGUGACCGUUGGGAGGUUGCAGGGAAAGCUCCGGCGCUUAGAGAGGGGUCUACGUCCGAUUAGCUAGUUGGUGGGGUAAAGGCCUACCAAGGCGACGAUCGGUAGCUGGUCUGAGAGGACGAUCAGCCACACGGGAACUGAGACACGGUCCCGACUCCUACGGGGGGCAGCAGCGAGGAAUAUUGGGCAAUGGGCGAAGGCCUGACCCAGCAACGCCGCGUGAAGGAAGAAGGCCUUCGGGUUGUAAACUUCUUUUGUGGGGGAAGAGAGAGGACGGUACCCUGCGAAUAAGUCACGGCUAACUACGUGCCAGCCGCCGCAGUAA
This 476-nucleotide ribosomal RNA is filed under the name uncultured bacterium. RNAcentral describes it as "partial 16S ribosomal RNA". It matches the Rfam family "Bacterial small subunit ribosomal RNA", at positions 28 to 523 of the family's 1533-position model. The record is from RNAcentral.